This 429-nucleotide ribosomal RNA is filed under the name Verrucomicrobiota bacterium. RNAcentral describes it as "Verrucomicrobia bacterium partial 16S ribosomal RNA". It matches the Rfam family "Bacterial small subunit ribosomal RNA", at positions 355 to 776 of the family's 1533-position model. Lineage: Bacteria; Pseudomonadati; Verrucomicrobiota. The record is from RNAcentral.
UAGGGAAUCUUCCGCAAUGGACGAAAGUCUGACGGAGCAACGCCGCGUGAGUGAAGAAGGAUUUCGGUUCGUAAAACUCUGUUGUUAGGGAAGAAAAAAUGUAUAGUAACUAUAUACAAAAGAGACGGUACCUAACCGGAAAGCCACGGCUAACUACGUGCCAGCAGCCGCGGUAAUACGUAGGUGGCAAGCGUUGUCCGGAAUUAUUGGGCGUAAAGCGCGCGCAGGUGGUUUAGAAAGUCUGAUGUGAAAGCCCACGGCUCAACCGUGGAGGGUCAUUGGAAACUAAUAAACUUGAGUGCAGGAGAGAAAAGUGGAAUUCCUAGUGUAGCGGUGAAAUGCGUAGAGAUUAGGAGGAACACCGGUGGCGAAAGCGGCUUUUUGGCCUGCAACUGACACUGAGGCGCGAAAGCGUGGGGAGCAAACAGG